Non-coding RNA from Camelina sativa (false flax), 2765 nucleotides. NCBI's taxonomy places the organism in Eukaryota, Viridiplantae, Streptophyta, Magnoliopsida, Brassicales, Brassicaceae. The record is from RefSeq and is a predicted model, not a curated record.
UUCUUCACACGGUCGCGAAUCGUUAAGCUUCGUCGAUUCAAGCAGAUUUGUACAACGAUAAGAGGAAAAACUAAAAAAAAAACAAUUUUUUUUAGAAGACAAAACCCCAGAGGGUUCUCUUCAAUUCAACCUUAGAAACCACCAAUUCCGCUAUGACAAAGAAGAGAAAGCUCGAAUCUGAAUCCAACGACACGUCAGAGCCGAUUCAGAAGCAGCAGGAAUGUGAAAGAGAGGAUCCUGGAAUCAGAAAUGAUGAUCAUCAAAGAGACGAAGACGAAGUAGUAGAACACGACGCACUCAAGGAGGUGCACGAAGAGGGACCUAAAGAUGACAAUAAUGUAGAAGCGGGGUCGUUGUCAGGAUCUAUGAGUUUGAGAAAUGAGGAUGAUGAGUCAGAAGAGCCCAUCGAUGAUCUAUUAGAACCGUUCUCAAAGGAUCAGCUUUUGAUUCUUCUCAAAGAAGCUGCAGAGAGACAUCGUGAUGUAGCUGAUCGAAUCCGGAUUAUAGCUGAUGAGGAUCCUGUUCAUCGUAAGAUCUUCGUUCACGGGCUUGGAUGGGAUACUAAAGCCGACGCACUGAUCGAAGCUUUUAAACAUUACGGAGAGAUCGAAGAUUGCAAAUGCGUGGUUGAUAAGGUAUCUGGGCAAUCCAAAGGUUAUGGCUUUAUCCUAUUUAAGUCAAGGUCUGGUGCUCGUAAAGCGCUUAAGCAGCCUCAGAAGAAGAUUGGGACCCGUAUGACUGCGUGUCAGCUUGCUGCUGUAGGACCUGUUCAGGGAAACCCUGUGGUGGCUGCGCCUGCUCAGCAUUUUAGCCCUGAGAAUGUUCAGAGGAAGAUUUAUGUUAGUAAUGUUAGCGCUGAUCUUGAUCCGCGGAAGUUGCUGGAGUUUUUCUCAAGAUUUGGGGAGAUUGAAGAAGGUCCUUUGGGUCUUGAUAAAGCUACUGGGAGACCCAAAGGUUUCACUUUGUUUGUUUAUAGAUCCGCAGAAAGUGCCAAGAGGGCAUUGGAAGAGCCACAUAAGACCUUUGAAGGUCAUGUCUUGCAUUGCCAUAAAGCAAACGAUGGGCCAAAGCAGGGUAAGCAACAUCAACAUCAACAUCAACAUCACCAUAAUUCUCACAAACAAAGUACUCGCUACCAAAGGAAUGAAAACACUGGUUAUGGUGCACCUGGAGGCCAUGGACAUUUCAUACCUGGUAAUAACCAAGCUGCGCAGACCAUAAACCCGGCUAUUGGCCAGGCCCUUACAGCUUUGCUGGCUUCUCAGGGUGCUGGAUUGGGUUUGAGCCAAGCAUUUGGGCAGGCUUUGUUGGGGGCAUUAGGGACAGCUAGUCCAGUACCCGCGGCUGGAAUGCCAAGCGGAUAUGGUACUCAAAAUAUCACACCUGGGGUCUAUCCUGCGUAUGGUGCCCAAGCCGGCUUUCAGGGUGGUUAUCAGACUCAGCAACCUGGUCAGGGCAGUGCUGGAAGAGGGCAGCAUGGUGUUGGGUAUGGUGGCCCUUACAUGGGUCAUUAGAUGUAGCCCACUCAGGAUGCAGAUAUUCCAAAACAGUUCUUUUAAUAUUGACAUGGUAAUUUUGACUGCAGGCUGAACCCAACACUAACGCUCUACAAUAUCCUAUGGGGUAGCUGAUAUUUGAAUGCUACUCACCUGCUUUAUCUUUUACUGACCAGUAAUGUUCUGAAUCUCUAAAUUAAUGGUUUAUAACUAAAGAUGUAGGCAUAGUUGUUUUCUUGUUUAGCUUCAGUAGGCAUCCUGUACCAAAAAGGUCAACUUGUUUAGGCUCUGUGCUAAAAAGUUUGAACAUGUCUAUUUCAAGGUUUUGCUUGUUUUAGAGCAACAUUUUGAAUCUAUAGCUAUGAAUGUGCAUUUUAAGUUGACCACAUCGCAGAUGUUACACUAAAGUGUCUUAGUUAAAUUUUUAUCUGAGUUUGGUAACACAGCUGGAACUGGUGAUUUCUCUCGCAUAGUGGAGCUCUGAACUGCCUUCCUAGUAAAAAGGUAAGUAAAACUGUUGCGCAUUGUGAGUAUUUAAUAUGUAAUGUAGAAGUAGAACCAUUGUUGAGGAAUGAAUUGAUGAUGAAAGUCCUUGCACGAAUGUGCUUCCUGGUUUGUAUUGUUUCUUUUGUAGUUGAGUCAGAGCUUCACGAGUGUAUAUGAACCAAAGUAUCUACUUGUCAUUCACUAUAAGUGAAUGAAUAUAUGGUUAUGCUAACUGCCGGGGUUCUAUCUAGUUACCCUCUAGGCUCUAUGGGCCACUAGGUUAUGAUAAGCAUGUGAAGUUUUUUACAAUACUUGAUUCUUAGGAGACCUUUGUUGGUACAGCCAGAUAGAGUGUGUGUUCUUGUUCUCUCUUUCGACAGGAUCAAGCUGCGACACAUGAUUUACUGAAUCUGUAUGUAUUAUAAUCAUUGAAGGACAUACAAAUUUACAAAGGAAGAGAAGAGUCAUAUGACAUUUUGAUGUGUUAGAUAAUAAGAAGAAGAGAGAAGUGUGAGAGUAAUUAAAGAAAGAGAAAAGGGAAACAGAAACACGUGGGAGAACAUCCCAAAGAGGAAGCACACGCGGAUCUUCAUGCAAAGCCGAUUCUCCCAUGUGGUCCCUUCCUCCCUUUGUCCCCCUCCCCUUUCUCCUUUUUCACCAUACAUACAACGAAUCUUCUUCUUUUUUUUUUUUUUUUAUAAAUAUCAUAUUUGGUUCAACAACACCUUGUUCUCGGUUACUUCCCCACUCUCACUUUUCAUAUAACAAGCGCAUUUUGGGAAA